Non-coding RNA from Salmo salar (Atlantic salmon), 277 nucleotides. NCBI's taxonomy places the organism in Eukaryota, Metazoa, Chordata, Actinopteri, Salmoniformes, Salmonidae. The record is from RefSeq and is a predicted model, not a curated record.
UGCAGGGUUUGAAAGCAUUUUGGAAGGGCUGUUCGGGCCGGGACUAGUCAAAGAUAUUACCCUUUUUCAAGAUUGCGAGCCCGAGGGACUGUUGGAUUGGUCGUUUGAUGUAAAUUGUCUUUUUGCUGCUUAAGACGAGAGAAAGUCAAGGAACACUUGGUUGGCAUCACCCCCCAGGUCUUAUCAGAGUCAGAGGACUUGAAACAGGACACGACCAAAAUCAACCGCCUGGAGAAGCAAGCCGAAGAGUUCCUCAAUGCUGUCUUCUACAGAAAGG